AUGAGCCACCCAGGGAUCCCGCAUUACAGUUUAUUUUAAUGAAACACUAAAUUAUACUCUGUUAAACAAUGAAAACCCUGGAGCAAAUGUUGAGCUGGCUGGACACCAAGAUGAGAGUUAUAUAUAUACUGGAACUGUCCUAGACAAACUGGGACCAAAUAAAAUCACCCUAUUAAUAGUAGAUGCUUAUUUGAUAAGUCUACAAAACACUUGGCAACAUUCACUCACUAGAGGCAGGCAAUUAGCACAGGCCUUGAGUCCAGGAAUUUAAUAAGUUGGUGACUAUAAUUUGGGAACAGUAAUGCUGAGAGUUACAGAAGAAAAAGAAAAGAUUAAGGUCAUUAUUCACUGUUUAGAUGUUUAAGGGCUUUUUCCUUGAAAAUACAUUAUUCUUUUUUAAGGUUAGAUAAAAUGGAUUGCUUAAAUUAGGGGUCUGAGUAUGAUCCAGAAUUAUGGGUAAUUUCAUAUAUCUGUGUACAGCUAAUUAAAAAUUUACAUAAUUAGAUUUGCUAGUAAGCAUUUAGAUUUAUCAGUGAUAAGCACACUAAGUA
This is a long non-coding RNA of Herpailurus yagouaroundi (jaguarundi), 551 nucleotides long. RefSeq lists it as uncharacterized. The record is from RefSeq and is a predicted model, not a curated record. NCBI's taxonomy places the organism in Eukaryota, Metazoa, Chordata, Mammalia, Carnivora, Felidae. The transcript is spliced from 2 exons.